Molecule: long non-coding RNA, 1091 nt
Filed under: Gossypium raimondii (Peruvian cotton)
Lineage: Eukaryota; Viridiplantae; Streptophyta; Magnoliopsida; Malvales; Malvaceae
Description: long non-coding RNA (GRAI_LNC000364)
Source: RNAcentral
CGAGGAUAACGAGUAGUCUCUUUCAAAUUCGCCAUCUAUCGCUCUCUUUUUCCUUCCUGAGCCCUCAUUUCGCCUUAAUCAGGCUUUUGUUCUCUUUGUUGACCAGAUCCCAGCGAUUCUAUGGCAUACCCAGGCACUGAUCCUUCCAGGUAAACCUCUCAUUGCCUUCUUAAACUCUAUGAUGCGAUUUUGUUAGCUGUUCUAUUUGUCGAUCAUGAAACAUGUUAAAAUCGGAUGCUUUGAAAAUCACUUUUGCAUUGUUGAAUGGCUCUGAUAUACACUCCUAUUUCCAAUUUGUCGAUGGCUGUAGACUGACACUUCUUUAUGAUUGUUAAUACAUCUCCUUCAACCUCAAUCUUUUUAACUCCCAUGGUUAACCCGAUUCCCACUGCUUGAAAACAUGCAUGAGCCUCCGCUGCAAACAGAGAUGGAACCUCUGUGCUGAAAAUCAAUUUUGAGGCCAGCACCUCUCCUCUGUUAUUUCUGGCCACCAACCUCAAAGUCUAUCUGAACUGAUUACGAUCAUAUGUCGCAUCAAAAUUGAUUUUAACAAAUUGGGUUUCUGGAUGGUAAGGGUUCUAUUCUCCAUUUCAUCAAUUUCUUUGAGAAAUCUGUUGGUUAUUUCAACAAUCUCUUUUCCAGUACUAAGCUUUCCUUCACGCAACUUCUUAUUUCACUCUGUCCAGAUCACCCACAAGGCGCAACAAAAUAAUUGGCACUAAGGAAUAAAGCUUCGUUUAAACACCCAGGUGAGUCAUUCCCAAUUAUCUAAAUUUGGCAUAGAGACAAUCUACAUGAGUUUUAAAGAAUACCACACUUCCAAUGACACAAGGCAAACUCGAAAUACAUGCAUAAUACUUUUUACUACCCCUCCGCACCUUGGACAAACUGUAUUUUCCCCAAGUCUUUGAAAAUGUAAAUUAUUUAGAGUAGGUAAGAAGUUCCACAGGAUUUCCAGAUUGUAAUUUUUUGUUUUACGUUUAAGUUGAGGCUCCAUAGUCGCUUGUAAAAAAAUUAUAUUCUGUUAUAAGUCUGUCGCAGUAGGAUCAAAAUUAUUUUCGAGCAGUAUUUUGUAACCACUCCUCAUUGAG